CCUACGGGGGGCAGCAGUGAGGAAUAUUGGUCAAUGGACGAGAGUCUGAACCAGCCAAGUAGCGUGAAGGAUGACUGCCCUAUGGGUUGUAAACUUCUUUUAUAUGGGAAUAAAAUGUUCCACGUGUGGGAUUUUGUAUGUACCAUAUGAAUAAGGAUCGGCUAACUCCGUGCCAGCAGCCGCGGUAAUACGGAGGAUCCGAGCGUUAGCCGGAUUUAUUGGGUUUAAAGGGAGCGUAGGUGGAUUGUUAAGUCAGUUGUGAAAGUUUGCGGCUCAACCGUAAAAUUGCAGUUGAAACUGGCAGUCUUGAGUACAGUAGAGGUGGGCGGAAUUCGUGGUGUAGCGGUGAAAUGCUUAGAUAUCACGAAGAACUCCGAUUGCGAAGGCAGUUCACUGGACUGCAACUGACACUGAGGCUCGAAAGUGUGGGUAUCAAACAGGAUUAGAUACCCGAGUAGUC
This 460-nucleotide ribosomal RNA is filed under the name uncultured bacterium. Its description in RNAcentral is "partial 16S ribosomal RNA". It matches the Rfam family "Bacterial small subunit ribosomal RNA", at positions 338 to 795 of the family's 1533-position model. The record is from RNAcentral.